RNAcentral lists this long non-coding RNA (1441 nucleotides) under Equus asinus (donkey). RNAcentral describes it as "lncRNA (ENSEASG00005029026.1)". Lineage: Eukaryota; Metazoa; Chordata; Mammalia; Perissodactyla; Equidae. The record is from RNAcentral.
CCUGCUGAGGGCCUUGCGCUCGCUGGUUUCUCGCUGCCUCCAGAGUUGCUGGGCACGUCUCUAGCAUCCUGGAUCCCAGCUCUGUGGCUUUUGCCAUUAUGAGCUUUAAGACUGAGCGUUUCUUCUUCUAGAGUGGAUCCAAAAGGGCCAGGAGUAGAACCGGGUCUGACUUAAAAGCCGGACUGGCUCUGACUUAAGUUGGACCGGAGCCAGGGUGAGGCUUCAGGUGAAUAAAAUUUUGUUUGAAGUCUGAACAAGCAGGUUAACCUUAUCAAAGACAAGAUUGAAUUACAGUGGCCACAGUGGAGACUUUCAGCCUAGAUAAGCUUAUCCAUUUACCAGGUGCCCUGGAGAAAAAGGGGUCUCAGCCAGACACUCACCAUAAAGGAUAGAGGGAAAAUUAUUUUUUCCUCCUCUGCAGUGUCUGGUGACCAGGAUGAGACCUACUGGGACUUAAGGUAGGAAGACCUGGGCUUAAAUACUAGUUCCAUCUUGAUUUUAGUUAAGUCGCCAUUAGUUUCCUUUACUCACAAAAAUAAACGCUGUUGAUUACCUAGAAUUGAUUACUGGGAUGAUGGCCAAAUGAGGAUAUGAAAAUUCUUUGUAAUAAUAAUGGUGGCUACCAUCAACAGAGUGCUGAUGAUGUGCCAAGUCUUGUUUUAAGCACUUUCUAUCUAUUAUCAAUUUAUUUAACCCUCACAACAACCCUCUACAGAUGAGGAAACUAAGGCAGAGAGAAGUUAAGUAACUGGCCUGCAGUCACACAGCUAGCGUGCAGCAGAGCUGGGAUUCUGGGUUCUAUUCUGUUAUCUAGCACGCUCCACCACCUGCCCUCGGGGAGGAAUUAUUACGCACCUGGAGAGGUUAAUGAAGUCACCUGGCCACUCCUUCAUCCAGCACAUCCAGCUCAGGUGCGCACCUCUCCUCUGGCUCCUCUGCCUGGUUCUCACAGUUUCUCACAUUCGUUAGGCAUGCCCUUCAGCCUUUUGGCAAUGCUGAGCUUCCUCAGGUCCAUUCACAUUUGAACCUGAGAGAUAAAGAUGCAAAGUUCUGCGAACAAAUUAUGGGAACUGAAUACCAGGCCUGUGGACAGAGGAGGUAGGCAGGGGAGAAAGGAGCGCUAUGGGAGGCAGUGAGUGAAGAUACUCACAGCAGCCAUCCAUCACUUCAGUGUAAAGGGAACUGGCCCUGCCUCAAAGGUCAGUUGAGUUGGGAGAACACAGGGCAAAUCAAAAGCCAAAGGACACAGAUUUGCUGUUGAUCAGGAAAGGCCACCACUGUGAGGGCAGAGUCAUUUCUUGAUGGAGGCUCCCAUAGGGGAGGCAGGCUUCAUUCUCCUUCUUAAUUCCUGAACUCCCUGGCCAAGGAGAGAGUGGAAACAUCUCCUGACAAGCAACAGAGAUUGGGGAGAGAUGAAAAGACCUUCGGUAACAGCCUGAAA